Molecule: long non-coding RNA, 1382 nt
Filed under: Sorghum bicolor (sorghum)
Lineage: Eukaryota; Viridiplantae; Streptophyta; Magnoliopsida; Poales; Poaceae
Description: long non-coding RNA (SBIC_LNC013355)
Source: RNAcentral
CCUGGGAGAUGUGAGAUGCAGAGAGCCAGUGCGCUGAGCUGCAGUGCUUCUCGCUUCAAUAAUUUCUUCGUUCCCAGCUCCCAUCUUCCUGGGAGACCAAGGCACCGAUAAUAGGCCCAAGACUACAGUGCACGACUGCACGGUAGUUGUUUUUUUUUUCCUUUUUUGAGAAAGUUGCUGCACCUGAACUUUGCACGUGUCCCGCGUGAAGAUUUCAUUUAUUAUACUGCUCCUUGGGCCCUAAAUUAUAAGGCCAAGUUUAGUUCCACGCUUAAAAACUGUUCACCCAUCUUAUCAAAUCUUUCGAUACAUGCAUAAAAUAUUAAAUAAAAAUAAAAAAAUUAAUUGCAUAGUUUGGUUGUAAAUUGUGAGACAAAUCUUUUAAACCUAAUUAGGUCAUGAUUAGCCAUAAUUGUUAUAGUAACCAACAUAUGCUAAUGAUGGAUUAAUUAUACUUAAUAAAUUUAUCUUGCAAUUUUCAAACAAGCUAUGUAAUUGGUUGUUGAUUAAUCUACAUUUAAUAUUUUAAAUGUGUGCCGGUAUAUCCAAUGUGAUACCCCAAAAUUUUCUUUUCGCGAACGAAACAAGGCCUAAAUCAUGGAGAGUCAAAAUAUCUUAAGUUUAACCAAAAUUUAUAUAAUAAAAUAAACAUUUGUGAUUCUAAAUAAUUAUUAUUUUUUUUCACGAACUAUAUUUUUAUAGUAUACCUAUUUCAUGACAUAAAUCUUUGUAAUUCUCUUGUAGUUUUGAUCAAAUUUGAAAUACUUUGACUUUUCAAGAAAGAUAAAAUAACUUAUAAUUUAGAAUGAAGGGAGUACAUAGUAAAAUACUCAGUCGACGGUGCUUAAACUCGACUAAUAUGACAGUCUUGGAGGUUUCAUCGGAUAUAUUUAUAUUUAAUAUUGUGACACAUCAAUGUUCGUAAUUACCAACACAGAAGUUGGCAUUGGCGUGGCAAUCAAACUAGCCUAAGGGCACUCCCAAUAUAAAAACCAUCAUAGUUUCUAUAUACAUUAAUUAUAGUGUCACCUAAGCAUUUUACUGAUAUGGCAAGGUAGUUAUUGAAGAGACAGAGCAAAAAUCAUAGCAACUGGGUCUAAGUUAGAAAUCAUAUCUACACGAAAUCCAAGACAUGAAGUGAUAUAAUUGGUUGAGAAUGGAGAGAGAAUGAAUGUGUUGGGUACCAUAAUAAGGGAUACCCAAAUCAGAGCAAUCAAAAAAGCAAAAAAAAAACAUACUAACCACAAUCAUCAGGGUACGGGCCCCAGUGCACCCAACUCGCCCGACCCCUCAGGGCCUCGGACGCAAGUUCCGACUCGCCCGAUCCCUCAGGGCCUCGGACGAAAGUUCCGACUCGCCCGACCCCUCAGGGCCUCGGACGC